This 30-nucleotide non-coding RNA is filed under the name Rattus norvegicus (Norway rat). Lineage: Eukaryota; Metazoa; Chordata; Mammalia; Rodentia; Muridae. The record is from RNAcentral.
UAGUGCAAGGACAGAACACUGAGUGUGCAC